CCCCCAAGUAAUUACUGUAGAUUUCUUCAUAAAUUUUUUGAAGUACAUAAUCCAUGUCGGUUGGUCACAAGCAUUGAAGUAGAGGUAGUGAGAAUGACUUUUUUAUAGAAUCUCCCUUCCAAGUAGAUAUAUUUAGGAGCCUGACACUUAAUCCUCCAAGCUUUAGUAGGAUCGAUUAGCAGGACACCAUUGAGAAGGUAAUCGACCAGAUGGUCCAUUCAACUCGCUUCAUGGUCGAUCUAUUAGACAACUGGUUCUUC
Molecule: long non-coding RNA, 260 nt
Filed under: Elaeis guineensis (African oil palm)
Lineage: Eukaryota; Viridiplantae; Streptophyta; Magnoliopsida; Arecales; Arecaceae
Description: long non-coding RNA (EGUI_LNC046428)
Source: RNAcentral